Molecule: non-coding RNA, 2704 nt
Organism: Macaca mulatta (Rhesus monkey)
Lineage: Eukaryota; Metazoa; Chordata; Mammalia; Primates; Cercopithecidae
Source: RefSeq, a predicted model, not a curated record
AAAGCCGGUGGGGACUUGCCAAGAAGCCAGCCCACAAGGCCAUGGACACCUCCACGCCGUCAGCUGGAGAAGUGGACGGCCGCAGGAAGGGAGACAGGAGCAGUGAGGGAAAGGGUGAGGGGUCCCCUGGGAGACCCCCGAGGCUCAGGGCUCAGGCCCCUGGGAUCCAGUCCUGGGCCUCCAUUUUCCACCCUCGAGCAAGCGGCUUCCACCCGUGAGCCAACUGCCUCCUCUGGAAAUGGAAGCCCCUCAACUCAAAGGGUAUCAGGGGCUGGAGCAGGCAGGGAGAGGAGAGAGGAAAGACGGGACGCUCACUUCUGCCUGCCCACAACCUCACUCAGGAGCAGACGGCUCCUCUGCCCGCAGGCACCCCUGCCUGGCAGCUCCCUCCAGCCCCCGUCGGGUCCGGGACGUCCUCUGAUGGGAAGGUCCCACCACAUCCGUGGCUGACAGAGUCAGCCUGUCCAAGGCCGGGGGGCGCUCGGGGUAAACAGGAAGCCCCAUCCCUCCGGCACUCUGCUUCAUUCCCUCCUCCUGCACCUCCUGCAGCCCGGCUCCCACGGCCGCGCCUGGUGCCCCUCAGUCUCGCGCCACCUAAGAUGCCCAGGCUGGCCUCCGCCAGGGGCUUAGUCCACCCUCUCCUGGGGCUGCAGAGGCCAAAAGCACCCUGGUGAGGGGUUCAGGAGGCCCAGGAGGGCCCGGGGGGCUCCGCCAGGCCCCUCCACGCCUCUCUGCCCAGCCAGCACGCUCUGGGAAGCCCCCAGGACCGGGGAGGCACAGGUGGCCCCCAUCACCCGGAGGAGCAGCUCCCGCCCCUGUCCGGGGGAUGACGGAUUCUCCUCCGCCAGGCCACCCAGAGGAGAAGGCCACCCUGCCCGGAGGCACAGGCCAUGUGGGGCUCUCAGGAGAUGCUACUGGUGUGGCUUCUGGUGUUGGCAGCAGGCGGCACGGAGCACGCCUACCGCCCAGGCCGUAGGGUGUGUGCCGUCGGGGCUCACGGGGACCCUGUCUCUGAGUCCUUCGUGCAGCGCGUGUACCAGCCCUUCCUCACCACCUGUGACGGGCACCGGGCCUGCAGCACCUACCGAACCAUCUAUAGGACCGCCUACCGCCGCAGCCCUGGGCUGGCCCCCGCCAGGCCUCGGUACGCAUGCUGCCCCGGCUGGAAGAGGACCAGCGGGCUUCCCGGGGCCUGUGGAGCAGCAAUAUGCCAGCCGCCGUGCCGGAACGGAGGAAGCUGCAUCCAGCCUGGCCGCUGCCGCUGCCCUGCGGGAUGGCAGGGUGACACCUGCCAGUCAGAUGUGGACGAAUGCAGUGCUGGGGGGGCCGGCUGUCCCCAGCGCUGCGUCAACACCGCCGGCAGUUACUGGUGCCAGUGUUGGGAGGGGCACAGCCUGUCUGCAGAUGGUACACACUGCGUGUCCAAGGGAGGGCCCCCCAGGGUGGCCCCCAACCUAACAGGUAAACUCAGCCCUGGCUGGGCCUGGCCUGGGGAGGUGGGCAGCCAGUGGACAUUGCCAUGUGGCUCUGUGUUAGGCACGGUGAGGGGCACUGGAACCUGGGUGGAAGGUGGUGGGGGCUCCCUCUCCAGGGAGGGAAGAUGGGGCGGGAGGACAGGUGGGUUCCUGAGAACUGGGGGCAGGUUGCCUGGAGCCUCACGGUCAGCCAAGAAGGCGGAAGUGCCCGUCUGCGUGCAGUGCAGCAUUCUGGAAGACGCCACGCCCCCGCUGGUGAUGGGACAUUAUUACUUUUGGUACGCGCUGUGACACUUCAAACUCGUACCGUGAGUAAUAAUGCGCUGUCCACAGCACCGCAUCGAAAGCGCCGCUGACACCACAGCUCCGACCUCCCUCAGCGUGGCCGGGACCCUGAGCAGCUGCGCAGAGCCAUGCGCCCCGAUGUACUUAGGUGGCACAGCCCUGAGACCUCUGGCCAGCGCCAGGCGGGCGUCGGGGCCGGCAGAGGCCUGGAUCUGAGUCUUUGGGCUCUGCCUCUCCCUGGGGACAGGAGGGAGCCUGGGGGUGUGGGUGGGGAGCCGGCCGACCCUGACCCAGCGCCUGGCUCUGCCCCCAGGAGUGGACAGUGCCAUGAAGGAGGAAGUGCAGAGGCUGCAGUCCAGGGUGGACCUGCUGGAGGAGAAGCUGCAGCUGGUGCUGGCCCCACUGCACAGCCUGGCCUCGCAGGCACUGGAGCAUGGGCUCCCGGACCCCGGCAGCCUCCUGGUGCACUCCUUCCAGCAGCUGGGCCGUAUCGACUCCCUGAGUGAGCAGAUCUCCUUCCUGGAGGAGCAGCUGGGGUCCUGCUCCUGCAAGAAAGACUCGUGACCGCCCCGGCGCCCCAGGCUGGACUGAGCCCUUCACCCUGCCCUGCAGCCCCCAUGCCCCUGGGCGACAUGCUGGGGGUCGACACCACUUUGGUGUCUCAGUGGAAGGCCAGGCAGGGCCCUCUUGCUCUUCCUCCUCCCCUUCCUCAGGAGGCUCCCAGGGCUCUGGUGUGGGGUGGGCUGUGGUCUUCUGUGUCAAUCCACCCCUAGCCAGCCCAACGGUAUCCCAAGGCCAGGUGGGCCCUCAGCCAAGGGAAGGUACGAGCUCACGGACUCUGCUGGAGACUGGGACCCGUGGCACAGGCCAGGCAGCCCGGAGGCUGGGUGGGGCUUCAGUGGGGGCUGCUGCCUGACCCCCAGCAGAAUAAAAAUGAAAUGUGA